UACGGAAGGCAGCAGUGGGGAAUAUUGCACAAUGGGCGCAAGCCUGAUGCAGCCAUGCCGCGUGUAUGAAAAAGGCCUUCGGGUUGUAAAGUACUUUCAGUCGUGAGGAAGGUGUUAAGGUUAAUAACCUUAGCAAUUGACGUUAGCGGCAGAAGAAGCACCGGCUAACUCCGUGCCAGCAGCCGCGGUAAUACGGAGGGUGCGAGCGUUAAUCGGAAUUACUGGGCGUAAAGGGCACGCAGGCGGUUAAUUAAGUUGGAUGUGAAAUCCCCGGGCUUAACCUGGGAAUGGCAUUCAAGACUGGUUAGCUAGAGUCUUGUAGAGGGGGUAGAAUUCCAUGUGUAGCGGUGAAAUGCGUAGAGAUGUGGAGGAAUACCGGUGGCGAAGGCGGCCCCUGGGACAAAGGACUGACGCUCAUGUGCGAAAGCGUGGGGAGCAAACAGGGAUUAGAUACC
Molecule: ribosomal RNA, 455 nt
Filed under: uncultured bacterium
Lineage: Bacteria
Description: bacterial SSU rRNA
Rfam family: Bacterial small subunit ribosomal RNA
Source: RNAcentral